Long non-coding RNA from Thalassophryne amazonica, 222 nucleotides. RefSeq lists it as uncharacterized. The transcript is spliced from 4 exons. The record is from RefSeq and is a predicted model, not a curated record. NCBI's taxonomy places the organism in Eukaryota, Metazoa, Chordata, Actinopteri, Batrachoidiformes, Batrachoididae.
UCAGCCAAUCAGUGGCCAGCAUUAAUAGACAGAUCUAGACUUAUGAGUAAGUAACAAGAAACGUCUGCCAACAAUCACAUAACUUACCUACAACUUAUGUCCAGCAUGUGCGGAACAUAUGAGUCACAUGCUGGCAUGCGUUAAAAUUUUUAGCAUGCCCAAAAUAUUUUGAGGAACUCAGCUUAUCAGGUCAAACAUUAACAGCUCCAAUGUGAUUUAGCU